RNAcentral lists this ribosomal RNA (464 nucleotides) under Vreelandella stevensii. RNAcentral's name for it is "partial 16S ribosomal RNA". It matches the Rfam family "Bacterial small subunit ribosomal RNA", at positions 338 to 794 of the family's 1533-position model. Lineage: Bacteria; Pseudomonadati; Pseudomonadota; Gammaproteobacteria; Oceanospirillales; Halomonadaceae. The record is from RNAcentral.
CCUACGGGGGGCAGCAGUGGGGAAUAUUGGACAAUGGGCGAAAGCCUGAUCCAGCCAUGCCGCGUGUGUGAAGAAGGCCUUCGGGUUGUAAAGCACUUUCAGUGGGGAAGAAAGCCUUGGGGCUAAUACCCUCGAGGAAGGACAUCACCCACAGAAGAAGCACCGGCUAACUCCGUGCCAGCAGCCGCGGUAAUACGGAGGGUGCGAGCGUUAAUCGGAAUUACUGGGCGUAAAGCGCGCGUAGGCGGUCUGAUAAGCCGGUUGUGAAAGCCCCGGGCUCAACCUGGGAACGGCAUCCGGAACUGUCAGGCUAGAGUGCAGGAGAGGAAGGUAGAAUUCCCGGUGUAGCGGUGAAAUGCGUAGAGAUCGGGAGGAAUACCAGUGGCGAAGGCGGCCUUCUGGAUUGACACUGACGCUGAGGUGCGAAAGCGUGGGUAGCAAACAGGAUUAGAUACCCGGGUAUC